This 2080-nucleotide long non-coding RNA is filed under the name Sus scrofa (pig). RNAcentral's name for it is "lncRNA (ENSSSCG00055020095.1)". Lineage: Eukaryota; Metazoa; Chordata; Mammalia; Artiodactyla; Suidae. The record is from RNAcentral.
CUAUUGUUAUAGAUUCUGCUGUAACUAAAUUACUUUAUCUUGUUGAUUGUUAAGGCCUCAUUAGCAGAUUAAAAGAUGCAUGAAAGCACGUUUCUUAGAAAAAAGGUGUUUUUAUUUGGAAAAUACAAUUCAGGAUGUGACCUUUUAUUUGAAAGAAUAAAUGAGAAUUUGAAAUGACUAAAAUUAAAUUAGUUCUUGAGAUAAAGAAUUAUUUUUCUCUUGAAAUGCUGUUGAGUGUAUAAAUGUUUUCCUCUUAGGCACUAUUUCAUUUAAUCCUUAUGGGAAACAUAUAAAGCAGACAGAAUUAUUCCAAUUUCACAUUAAGAAACUGAGGCUCUGGGUAAACAGAUCCAUUGCUUAAAUGCACAUAGCCAGUAAAUGAUUAAACUGUAACUAAAGUUUUUCAAUAACAAUUAAAGUAUCAUUAAUGCUAUAUUGCAGCUUCCUCAUGACAUAUAUUGCUAAUGAAUUUAACCUGAACAACUGACCCUUAACUGAAAAUUACUUGUUAUAAAAUUGUCAGUAUAAAAACCAUAUAAAACAACAUAUUUUAGGUCUAAGUUAUAGAGCAUGCUCUAAGUGCUAUAAGCUUUCUGAGUUCAGAAAAUUAUGGGAGCUAGGAUCCAUCAUGAACUCCAAAAAUUUCUAUUCAAAAGGACAUUACUCGGGUGACAGGUAAAUGAGGGUAUUUUACCCUUGGAUGGAGAGAUUCUUAUUAUCCUUGUAUAUCCAUAUCUUAUAUCCAUAAUAUGUCAAAAUGCCCUCUAUUUCUCUACUUAGGAUAAAGGGACUCCUCAUAGGUAAGUCAUUCUCUCAUUAAGGUAAAAUAUAAGGCUAAUAGUAGAGCACGUUCUGGUUUUGUUAUCAAGAUGAAAGACGAUGACGUCUUAGAUUUGGGAAUAACAGUGGAGAUGGACAAAUAUGUAUGUAUUCUUGUAUAUUCUGUAAGUGGAGCUCAUAAGAGUGCUGCUGAAUGGAAUACAGUGCUGAGAAGACUUCGAGAGGAAAACCAACAUUAUUUAUUUGUAUUGCUUAUUUGAGAAAUGUGAGUUUCUUAGCUUUAAAUAGAAAAGACCUUCCUUUGUUUACUUCUUCAUUUUUCCACUUCCAUUUAGUUUACAAUUGCAAAGAUUGUUAAUUACUAUUAAGAGUUAAGACCAGAGACAAACUUUUAAAUAUCUUGUAGCUAAGGAAGCUACAGAAAAGUCAGGAUUUGGACUUUACUUACAAAGUGGAGAAUAAAAAGGAAAAGACUCAAUCAACAAUCCAUCUUUAGACUGAAAUAAUGUGAAAAAAUAAAAUUCAUAAAGCCUAAAGUUUGGAGUUCCUGUCAUGGUGCAGCAGAAACAAAUCCAACUAGGAACCAUAAGGUUGUGGGGUCGAUCCCUUGCCUCACUCAGCGGGUUAAGGAUUAUUUAAUUUUUUUUAUUUUAUUAUUUAUUUGUUUAUUUAUUUUAUUGCUUUUUAGGGCCACACAUGUGGCAUAUGGAGGUUCCCAGCCUAGAGGUCCAAUCAGAGCUACAGCUGUCGGCCUACGCCAGAGCCACAGCAAUGUGGGAUCCGAGCCGUGUCUGCAACCUACACCAUAGCUCACGGCAACACCAGACCCCUAACCCACUAAGCAAGGCCAAGGAUUGAACCCGCAACCUCAUGGUUCCUAGUUGGAUUAGUUUCUGCUGCACCAUGAUGGGAACUCCCAAACAGGUUACUUUAAAACAAAUAUGAAGGAGAGUGUUUGGAAAGGAAAAUUAGUAAAACAAUUUAAUUUUUUUUAAUGUAUAAACUGCAAAUAGAAUAGGUGAUAAUACUUAAAAUAGCCAUCAUUAAUUAUUUGGCAAGAACUAUUCUAAAUACUUAAUCCUCUUGGUAAUAACCUAUUUUAAAUAUGUUCUUCAAAAAGAUUAAAGAAAGAUAUUUUAAAUACUAAAAAACUUAAAAAAAAUCACUUAAUAUGGUUUAAAAAGUAAGGAAAAUAGGGAGUUCCCUGGUGGUGGUUAAGGAUCUGGCAUUAUCGCUGCUGUGCUGCAGGUCACUGCUGUGGUGCGGGUUUGAUCCCUAACCCAGGAACUUCCACAUGCUA